This 357-nucleotide long non-coding RNA is filed under the name Parus major (Great Tit). RNAcentral describes it as "lncRNA (ENSPMJG00000004625.1)". The record is from RNAcentral. Lineage: Eukaryota; Metazoa; Chordata; Aves; Passeriformes; Paridae.
GGGCCAGGCUCUCGGUGGCCACGGUGGCCACCAGGCCCGGCCGGUGCAGGUGGAGCUGCAGGGCCGGGCCGGACGCUGCGAGCGGCGACGCCUGAGGGGCUUCGGCCACGGCCGGACGGGGCCUGGGGACACCCGGGGUGGCCUUGGGGACAUCUGGGACUUCUGAGGGGACCUUGGGGUGGCCUUGGGGACACCUCAGGUGGCCUUGGGGACAUCUGGGGUGGCCUUGGGGACAUCUGAGGAGACAUCUGGGACAUCUGAGGUGGCCUUGGGGACAGUUGAGGACAUCUGGGGUGGCCUUGGGGACAUCUGGGACUUCUGAGGGGACCUUGGUGACAUCUGGGGUGGCCUUGGGGA